Long non-coding RNA from Arabidopsis thaliana (thale cress), 380 nucleotides. RefSeq annotates it as other RNA. The record is from RefSeq. NCBI's taxonomy places the organism in Eukaryota, Viridiplantae, Streptophyta, Magnoliopsida, Brassicales, Brassicaceae. The transcript has a single exon.
GAUGGGCCUUUCUUGGGCUUUUGUAAAUCUAAAGUUAGGGCUUUUGUUUAAGCCUUUGUAUGAUAUAGUCAAUCUUAAUAAAAUCCCAUCUUUGAAUAAACAAAAACCCAUGCAUUGUUCAAUUCUAAUGGCUUCUCAAAAUAAAAAUUGUGAUUAUAUUCUAUGUUUACAUGAUGCAGGUUCCACCAUUCUUAGUCAGAAAAGUAUUCACACAAAUAUUUGCCUUCAUCAAUCUUCAUCUUCUCAACAGGCAUGCUCACUAGUAAUUACUUAUUUUAGUAUCUCUCAAUCCAAUUUUGACGUAAAGAUUUCUCUGUAAUAAACUUGUGCAGUUUUCUUCAAUGUCGUGAAUCUUGCACACCAAGAAAUGGGGACCACGU